GAUGAACGCUGGCGGCGUGCCUAAUACAUGCAAGUCGAGCGAACAGACGAGGAGCUUGCUCCUCUGACGUUAGCGGCGGACGGGUGAGUAACACGUGGAUAACCUACCUAUAAGACUGGGAUAACUUCGGGAAACCGGAGCUAAUACCGGAUAAUAUAUUGAACCGCAUGGUUCAAUAGUGAAAGACGGUUUUGCUGUCACUUAUAGAUGGAUCCGCGCCGCAUUAGCUAGUUGGUAAGGUAACGGCUUACCAAGGCAACGAUGCGUAGCCGACCUGAGAGGGUGAUCGGCCACACUGGAACUGAGACACGGUCAAGACGCCUACGGGAGGCAGCAGUAGGGAAUCUUCCGCAAUGGGCGAAAGCCUGACGGAGCAACGCCGCGUGAGUGAUGAAGGUCUUCGGAUCGUAAAACUCUGUUAUUAGGGAAGAACAAAUGUGUAAGUAACUAUGCACGUAUUGACGGUACCUAAUCAGAAAGCCACGGCUAACUACGUG
RNAcentral lists this ribosomal RNA (497 nucleotides) under uncultured bacterium. RNAcentral describes it as "partial 16S ribosomal RNA". It matches the Rfam family "Bacterial small subunit ribosomal RNA", at positions 28 to 507 of the family's 1533-position model. The record is from RNAcentral.